This 429-nucleotide ribosomal RNA is filed under the name Actinomycetes bacterium. Its description in RNAcentral is "Actinobacteria bacterium partial 16S ribosomal RNA". It matches the Rfam family "Bacterial small subunit ribosomal RNA", at positions 355 to 776 of the family's 1533-position model. The record is from RNAcentral. Lineage: Bacteria; Bacillati; Actinomycetota; Actinomycetes.
UAGGGAAUCUUCCGCAAUGGGCGAAAGCCUGACGGAGCAACGCCGCGUGAGUGAUGAAGGUCUUCGGAUCGUAAAACUCUGUUAUUAGGGAAGAACAAAUGUGUAAGUAACUAUGCACGUCUUGACGGUACCUAAUCAGAAAGCCACGGCUAACUACGUGCCAGCAGCAGCGGUAAUACGUAGGUGGCAAGCGUUAUCCGGAAUUAUUGGGCGUAAAGCGCGCGUAGGCGGUUUUUUAAGUCUGAUGUGAAAGCCCACGGCUCAACCAUGGAGGGUCAUUGGAAACUGGAAAACUUGAGUGCAGAAGAGGAAAGUGGAAUUCCAUGUGUGGCGGUGAAAUGCGCAGAGAUAUGGAGGAACACCAGUGGCGAAGGCGACUUUCUGGUCUGUAACUGACGCUGAUGUGCGAAAGCGUGGGGAUCAAACAGG